Long non-coding RNA from Pseudophryne corroboree (corroboree frog), 1522 nucleotides. RefSeq lists it as uncharacterized. The transcript is spliced from 2 exons. Lineage: Eukaryota; Metazoa; Chordata; Amphibia; Anura; Myobatrachidae. The record is from RefSeq and is a predicted model, not a curated record.
CAGUGUGCCAGGGGGACAGGAAAGGGUUAAUACGAGCAUCUGGGAGUCUCGCCCACCAUCCUGCACUUCCACCAAUAGGCCGAAAGACUGGAGAGGAGCAGUGAGCAAAACAGACAGGGAGAGACAGAGAAGCAGGGAACUAGCAGAGGAAGGGGAGCAGUGAGGAGCAAGUGGAAGGAGAAGGAGAUUAGCAGGGACAGAGACCAUAGAGAAAGAAGAAAGGGUGCACAGCAGGAGUGCCACACACCAGACACUGGCUGCCUAAUUCUGGAGACUGACACCAAUAAAGCGAAUAGAAGAGCAGGUGAUGAGCAAGUGGAGGAAGCGUGGAGAAACAGCACGAUUAUCAGCUAGUAGGAUACAUAAAGAUCCACUGCCUGCCUCUCUGGAGGUCUCACAAUAGAGGGGCACCUGCUUCUUCCGAAUUCCAUUGAAGAGGAACCCAGUACUCUUCUGCACCUUGAGACAGAAACUGGUGGGGAGGGAACCUUCCUUUUCUCCACGCAAAGGACUAUGACUGUCUGCAAGUCUAACUCUUUAUCAUGCUUACAGACUGCCAAACCAGGCCCGCCGCCACCCCAUCCAGGGCAGGCAGCCACAGACUCUACGGCCACCCUCAACAAGCUGGCACUGGCUACAGGAGGUGCGGAGAAGUCCUGGCAUCGCUGUGUGUUCCCCUUUGGGGCUGUGGCUUUAGUGAUUGGCAUUGCCGCCACGUGCAUCACCUUUAAAUUUCGAGGGCCGCACAUGGACAUUGCCAAGGCAGUGUCGGUGGCGGCACUGGCAGCUGGGGCGGCGUUGUUGGUGGCUGCUUUUUUGUGCUGGAGGUCCCGGCGGGAACGACGAAGAAGGAGAGAGGAGGCAGAAGCGGAGGAACAGGGGGGGCUGUGAUUGGAUUAAUCCUUUCAAUGCGGUGCGGUGAAACUCUAGUAAGAAUGGGGUAUCUCUGUAGUAGACCCCAGACAAAAACUCAUCAGCUCAUUGCUCCACUGGGUUCAUAGGGGAGCAGAGUGCUGAAUGGUUUGAGAGGAAAGCAUGUAUCGUACCCACUGUGCCCAUUAACUCAUUCAGUCUCAUUUAAGGCUUUGAGUCACCAACGUUUCAAGUCCUUCCGGAGAACAGUGAUUGUGCUGCUUUUCGGGUGAAAGUGGGUUACGCUGCAAAGUGUGAGUGCCUUACUGCUCUUCGAAAUAGGACGCUGCCUGCUCUCCUCACCUAUCCGCUACCCAGGACUCAGACCAAUGUGUUUUUGCUCUGCGCAAUCUCCAGCUUUCUCAGAAGUGGCCUUAAAUUUCUCUGAUCCAAGAGGCAUUUGACUGAGUGUUUGGUGUCCAACUUCGCCUCGUUCUGUGUUCCUUUCAUGUGGCUCCUGAAAGGAGAAUGUUAACAAUUCCCUGUGGGAUCAGUGGCUAUUUGACUCCUGUCUCUGUUUAGUCCUUUGUAUGCAAAAAUACAUAUUCUUGGGACAGUGUAUCUUCUGUGAGAAAGAAAUCCCUGAUUCUAUAAAUUGUUAUGUGUACAA